RNA transcript from Peromyscus californicus insignis, 2480 nucleotides. It is a transcript of the gene named LETM1 domain containing 1, with no coding region annotated. The transcript is spliced from 9 exons. Lineage: Eukaryota; Metazoa; Chordata; Mammalia; Rodentia; Cricetidae. The record is from RefSeq and is a predicted model, not a curated record.
ACUCUGACCCGGGGGCGACCCCUCCCUCCGCGCCCUUCCCCGGCGUGAAGAUGGCGCUGUCCAGGGUGUGCUGGGCUCGGGCUGCUCUGUGGGGCUCGGCCGGCGCCCCCGGACCCUUCGUCACCCGGAGGCUGCAGCUGGGUCGCUCGGGCCCCGCGUGGCGAGCCCCUCGGUCUUCAAAGCUCCAUCUUUCUCCAAAGGCGGACGUGAAGAACUUGGUUACUUACAUGAUGACCAAGACAAGAGCGAUCAAUGGAUCAUACCAUCGUUUCUUGAGCCGGCAUUUCCCCCGCUUCUAUGCCUUAUACACAGUCUUCAUGAAAGGAAUACAGAUGUUAUGGGCUGAUGCCAAAAAGGCUAGAAGAAUAAAGGCAAAUAUGUGGAAGCACAAUAUAAAGUUUCAUCAACUUUCUUACCGGGAGAUGGAGCAUUUGAGACAGUUCCGUCGAGAUAUCAGCAAGUGUCUUUUCAUAGGCAUCAUUUCCAUCCCACCCUUUGCCAACUACUUGGUCUUCCUGCUAAUGUACCUGUUUCCCAGGCAACUGCUUGUCAAGCAUUUCUGGACCCCCAAACAACAAGUUGAUUUCUUAGAUAUUUAUCACAGUCUCCGGAAGCAGGCCCACUCAGAAGUCAUCACUUACUUAGAAAGGGCCAGCACUCUGGUUUCCGAUGAGAGGCUUCAGUGGCAUCUGACAGACCUGGGCAUCAAGGUGCGGAAUGGUACCCAUCCGACAGCUCAUGACAUCCUGCCUCUCAGAGAGUGCUUCUCUACUCAUCCCCUGGGCUUGAAUCAACUCCAGGCUGUGCAGAUGAGAGCCUUGAGCCGGGCCAUGCUCCUCACACCUCACCUGCCUUCCCCCUUGUUGAGAUGGCGUUUAAAGAGUCUUACCACUGAGAUUCACCAGCUGGACAGGGCUCUGGCAAAGCUGGGGAUUGGCCAGCUGACUGCCCAGGAAGUGAAAUCGGAUGUUUCUCUUCUGAGUGGUGCAGGCUUGCUAUCUUCGUGGCUUGAGUUCUACCCAUAUUGCUGAGGACAGGUGUCGGACUUGGUUGGGAGAAUGGUUGCGGAUUUCCUGCAGCCUCGAAGAGGCCGAGCUGUCCCUCCUGCUGCACAGUGUGGUCCUGCUCUCCACCAACUACCCUGAGACAAGGCGCUGAGUGAACCACGGAGAGGGACGAUGUCCUGCAGUCACAUAACGUAGUAGUGUGGGACCAAAGGGCACCCGCCAGCAGUCCGUACACUCUUAGUGUGGGAGGCAGAAGAGCAGGUUCUGUGGGCUUCGCAGCACGCUACCCAUCUGGGAGCUAUAGCCAUUCCUCACAGCUUGAACCUCACAGCUUGAACUAAACACACGUGUGUGGUGCCAUCCCGUCAUGCUAACCUGGAACUGGCAAGCGCCUCUGGUACUGGACUUUUAUUGUGAUGAAAUGUUUAGGUCCUAUUAAGUCUGUUUUUGCCCAGGUUGGAAUCAUUUGGCCUAAAAUUCAUGACUGCCAUGGUUUGUUUUUAAAUUUCUAUUUUUUUUUUUUCCCUGAGAUGAGUAUGUUGCCCAGGCUGGCCUCAAAUUUCUGUGCUCAAGGGAUCCUUCCACCUCAGGCUUCUGGGUGCUGAGGCUACAGGUCCAAGUCACACUGGCCUCACUGCCGUGUUCUUCAUAUCCGUGAGGGUGUUUUUUUGCUGGUUUUCUUGAGAUGUUGAGGAUGGCCUUGAACUCGUGCUGGGAUCCAAGCUGAAGCACCAGUGCUCUGUGAGAUGUGAGGAGCUGGCCAAGUGCUCGACACUCAGCCCUUUCCACAGAGAGUUUGGGUGCCAAGAACACUGCUGCUUGGACUGGGGUGCUGCACCUGGGCUGCACCCAGAUGCCCUGACGGUCUUUUCUUAUCCUGCCCCUUUUAUUUUGGCGUUUUGGAGACAGAGUCUCGCUCUGGCCUGGAUUUUACUACAUAGCCCAGGCUAGCCUUCAAUUCCUAGCAAUCCUGAAAACUCUGCCACAGCCUCCUGGGUACUAGGAUUAUAGCAUGAGCCACUAGGCCUGGCCCGUCCUUUUUGAUGUGACCAAAAGUAGGGGCACUUUCCAUGUCACUAACUGGACCGUCCACCCUCUUCCUUUAGUAUUCUUAAUUUAUGGGAACAUUCUAAAGGAGGUGAAAAGGAAGAGGAUCGGCUGCCCGGCCCCUUCCCUGCACCUAUCCCCCAGUGUCUUAAUUUUCAGGCUGUCUGUCACAUAGCCCCUAAGGACCUUCCUCCGUGUUUGCUACCUCCACUGUGUUGCACUAAGCAUCUGGAGCCGGCAGUGGCUGCCUUCUCUAGGCCAUGGGUCAAGUCGUGUAAGGUACUCCUUACUGCCUGGCCCUGGGAGACCAGGAGAUCUACAUCAAGGUAGUAAACUGGGCUUGGCUGUUGUGUGUACAUCUACGAUAACUUACUGUAAAUGCAUGAAGCACUGUUUUUUAAACCAAGUAAAGACUGCCUGAAACCA